RNAcentral lists this ribosomal RNA (509 nucleotides) under uncultured Glomeraceae. RNAcentral describes it as "SSU rRNA". It matches the Rfam family "Eukaryotic small subunit ribosomal RNA", at positions 569 to 1082 of the family's 1831-position model. The record is from RNAcentral. Lineage: Eukaryota; Fungi; Glomeromycota; Glomeromycetes; Glomerales; Glomeraceae.
AGCAGCCGCGGUAAUUCCAGCUCCAAUAGCGUAUAUUAAAGUUGUUGCAGUUAAAAAGCUCGUAGUUGAAUUUCGGGAUCAAUAUUUCGGUCAUGCCGUUGGUAUGCACUGUUAUCAUUGAUUUCUCACCUUCUAAAGAACCGUAAUGCCAUUAAUUUGGUGUUACGGGGAAUUAGGACUGUUACCUUGAAAAAUUAGAGUGUUUAAAGCAGGCUCACGCUUGAAUACAUUAGCAUGGAAUAAUGAAAUAGGACAUCCGAUUCUAUUUUGUUGGUUUCUAGGAUCGAUGUAAUGAUUAAUAGGGAUAGUUGGGGGCAUUAGUAUUCAAUUGUCAGAGGUGAAAUUCUUGGAUUUAUUGAAGACUAACUACUGCGAAAGCAUUUGCCAAGGAUGUUUUCAUUAAUCAAGAACGAAAGUUAGGGGAUCGAAGACGAUCAGAUACCGUCGUAGUCUUAACCAUAAACUAUGCCGACUAGGGAUCGGAUGAUGUUAAUUUUUUAAUGUACUCA